Brassica napus (rape) is the source of this 567-nucleotide long non-coding RNA. RefSeq lists it as uncharacterized. The transcript is spliced from 2 exons. The record is from RefSeq and is a predicted model, not a curated record. Lineage: Eukaryota; Viridiplantae; Streptophyta; Magnoliopsida; Brassicales; Brassicaceae.
CCCUAUCCAUGCCUUAAAACAAAAUUGUCUCAACCACCAUCACAAUUAAUAAACGAGAUCAAUAAGUUCAUCUCAGAUUCACCUUUGUUUAGAAAGUUCAUCUCAGAUUCAGUUUCCUUUUUUUAUUUAAUAGGUUGAUACGAGAGAAAUGCAAUUGUCGAGUAAGCUAACAGAGGCUCUGGAGGACCUGUGCCGUAGCCAUCUCAAAGCAAAGAAAAGGUAGUGGCCGUGACCAAGAGGAGACAUCUCGAACUCACCCCCGUCUCAACCCGUCGUCACCGGUCUUGAGCUUGUCAUCACCGGUCUCGAACUCGUCCCUAUAGUCAUCGAUGGUGUCGCGGGAGGAAGGAGGAAGACAUGGAGAAGAAAGAGGCAAAGGAGGAAGGAGGCGGCAGCAGAGAAAUUAGGUUUAGGGUUAAUUAUGUUUAGAUUUUUGUUUAGCGUUAAUUAGAUUUUGGUUCAUGUGUUAUGGUUUACUUAAUUUUUUAAUGCUGGUUUAGUUUUGUUAAACUAAUUUUAUUUGUAAAUUAUUUUAAUUAAUAAAUAUAAUUCAACUUCAAUUUUAAA